UGGAGAGUUUGAUCCUGGCUCAGAUUGAACGCUGGCGGCAGGCCUAACACAUGCAAGUCGAGCGGAUGAGAAGAGCUUGCUCUUCGAUUCAGCGGCGGACGGGUGAGUAAUACCUAGGAAUCUGCCUGGUAGUGGGGGACAACGUUUCGAAAGGAACGCUAAUACCGCAUACGUCCUACGGGAGAAAGCAGGGGACCUUCGGGCCUUGCGCUAUCAGAUGAGCCUAGGUCGGAUUAGCUAGUUGGUGAGGUAAUGGCUCACCAAGGCUACGAUCCGUAACUGGUCUGAGAGGAUGAUCAGUCACACUGGAACUGAGACACGGUCCAGACUCCUACGGGAGGCAGCAGUGGGGAAUAUUGGACAAUGGGCGAAAGCCUGAUCCAGCCAUGCCGCGUGUGUGAAGAAGGUCUUCGGAUUGUAAAGCACUUUAAGUUGGGAGGAAGGGCAGUAAGCGAAUACCUUGCUGUUUUGACGUUACCGACAGAAUAAGCACCGGCUAACUCUGUGCCAGCAGCCGCGGUA
This 522-nucleotide ribosomal RNA is filed under the name Pseudomonas putida. RNAcentral's name for it is "bacterial SSU rRNA". It matches the Rfam family "Bacterial small subunit ribosomal RNA", at positions 1 to 522 of the family's 1533-position model. Lineage: Bacteria; Pseudomonadati; Pseudomonadota; Gammaproteobacteria; Pseudomonadales; Pseudomonadaceae. RNAcentral also lists the same sequence under 1 other name. The record is from RNAcentral.